UGAACCUGCGGAAGGAUCAUUACCGAGAUAGGGUUCCUUUUCGGGACUCGACCCUCCCACCCUUUGUGUAUAUACCUCUGUUGCUUCGGCGGGCCUCAGUGGCAUACGGUAGUGUUACACACUCCUGAGCCCCGACCCGCCAGAGGCCCACCCAAUUCCGACUGUAAUCAGUGAUGUCUGAGCACACUAAGCAAAAUAAAUUUAAAACUUUCAACAACGGAUCUCUUGGUUCUGGCAUCGAUGAAGAACGCAGCGAAAUGCGAUAAGUAAUGUGAAUUGCAGAAUUCAGUGAAUCAUCGAAUCUUUGAACGCACAUUGCGCCCUCUGGUAUUCCGGGGGGCAUGCCUGUUCGAGCGUCAUUACACCUCUCAAGCUUUGCUUGGUAUUGGGCUUUCGUCCCCCGGGGAUGGGCCUGAAAAUCAGUGGCAGUUCAGCCGGUGCUCAAGCGUAGUAACAUUUUAUCCCGCUUUGGAGUCACCGGGUGGACCCGCCAGACAACCCUAUUUAUAUUCUAUGGUUGACCUCGGAUCAGGUAGGGAUACCCGCUGAGUUAG
RNAcentral lists this ribosomal RNA (554 nucleotides) under Circinaria sp. 1 MS-2012. RNAcentral describes it as "eukaryotic LSU rRNA". The stretch from base 206 to 359 matches the Rfam family "5.8S ribosomal RNA". Lineage: Eukaryota; Fungi; Ascomycota; Lecanoromycetes; Pertusariales; Megasporaceae. The record is from RNAcentral.